GACGAACGCUGGCGGCGUGCCUAAUACAUGCAAGUAGAACGCACAGUUUAUACCGUAGCUUGCUACACCAUAGACUGUGAGUUGCGAACGGGUGAGUAACGCGUAGGUAACCUGCCUGGUAGCGGGGGAUAACUAUUGGAAACGAUAGCUAAUACCGCAUAAUAUUGAUUAUUGCAUGAUAAUUGAUUGAAAGAUGCUAUUGCAUCACUACCAGAUGGACCUGCGUUGUAUUAGCUAGUAGGUGAGGUAACGGCUCACCUAGGCGACGAUACAUAGCCGACCUGAGAGGGUGAUCGGCCACACUGGGACUGAGACACGGCCCAGACUCCUACGGGAGGCAGCAGUAGGGAAUCUUCGGCAAUGGACGAAAGUCUGACCGAGCAACGCCGCGUGAGUGAAGAAGGUUGUCGGAUCGUAAAGCUCUGUUGUAAGAGAAGAACGGGUGUGAGAGUGGAAAGUUCACACUGUGACGGCAUCUUACCAGAAAGGGACGGCUAACUACGUG
This 505-nucleotide ribosomal RNA is filed under the name uncultured bacterium. RNAcentral describes it as "partial 16S ribosomal RNA". It matches the Rfam family "Bacterial small subunit ribosomal RNA", at positions 28 to 507 of the family's 1533-position model. The record is from RNAcentral.